UACGUAGGGGGCAAGCGUUGUCCGGAAUCAUUGGGCGUAAAGCGCGCGUAGGCGGCCCGGUAAGUCCGCUGUAAAAGUCCAGGGCUCAACCCUGGAAAGCCGGUGGAUACUGUCGGGCUAGAGUCCGGAAGAGGCGAGUGGAAUUCCUGGUGUAGCGGUGGAAUGCGCAGAUAUCAGGAGGAACACCGAUGGCGAAGGCAGCUCGCUGGGACGGUACUGACGCUCAGGCGCGAAAGCGUGGGGAGCGAACAGG
Molecule: ribosomal RNA, 253 nt
Filed under: uncultured bacterium
Lineage: Bacteria
Description: partial 16S ribosomal RNA
Rfam family: Bacterial small subunit ribosomal RNA
Source: RNAcentral